This 303-nucleotide ribosomal RNA is filed under the name uncultured bacterium. RNAcentral's name for it is "partial 16S ribosomal RNA". It matches the Rfam family "Bacterial small subunit ribosomal RNA", at positions 507 to 807 of the family's 1533-position model. The record is from RNAcentral.
AGCAGUAGCCGCGGGAAUACGUAGGGUGCAAGCGUUAAUCGGAAUUACUGGGCGUAAAGCGUGCGCAGGCGGUUAUAUAAGACAGAUGUGAAAUCCCCGGGCUCAACCUGGGAACUGCAUUUGUGACUGUAUAGCUAGAGUACGGCAGAGGGGGAUGGAAUUCCGCGUGUAGCAGUGAAAUGCGUAGAUAUGCGGAGGAACAACGAUGGCGAAGGCAAUCCCCUGGGCCUGUACUGACGCUCAUGCACGAAAGCGUGGGGAGCAAACAGGAUUAGAUACCCCCGUAGUCCCUGUCUCUUAUAC